UGGAAAACUGAAGGUUCGUCCGCGUCCCAUCAUCCACCAAAUCCAAAAAGCCUUCUUGUCCACGUUCGAACUUCGGAUCGGUGACCCCUGUCGAUCUUCAUCAUCAUCCUCCUCCUCCUCCUCCUUCUUCUUCCUCCUCCUCCUUCACCUACUGUCGCGCGUCCAAAUAGAGGGUCUCGAUCACAAACGGAGGAUUCGCAGUCGCACGAACUGACCACACUGCUCGAACUUGUGUUGAACGGACAAUGGAGUGCGAGGGGAUGCGUUUUUGGACUUUUAGUGGGUUGGUGGGUGCAUUUCUUGACCUCGCCAUCGCGUAUUCUCUGCUGUGCGCAGCUACUCUUGCUUAUUUCACCUCUAAGUUUUUGGGGGUUUUCGGGUUGUGUUUGCCCUGUCCCUGCAACGGACUCUUCGGGCAUCCAAAUCGUAAUCGCUGUGUUAGGAAGGUUUUGGUGGACCAACCGUCGGAGAGCAUAUAUUCCGUCCAAAUGUCUGUGAAGAACAACUUCCCGUUCGAUACAGUAUUGACCAAUGACCGGGAUUGUGAGAUGAUUUUGGAGCCGGAGGAACAUAGGAUUUGCGAAAACGGGCACGUGCAAUUGGAAGGUGGAGCAUCAUGUAGCUCGUACGCAGAAAGGAGAGAACGAGAUGUAGGUGUCCGAGGGUUAAUUGCAAGAAAGGAAUCGGAUGCUGCGAUCGGUGCAGUGGACUCACUUUUGGGGGAAGAAGGAAGGUUUGACUUUAAGGGAAAGGGAGCUUUGAGCCAGAGGACAAAGGGCCUUCGGCGGCGUAAAAAAGGGUCAGUUGAAUAUGGGAAGUUUUCAUCAGUCUCUUCAUAUGAUCCAUGGCAAGAAGAUGCACAAGAUGUGCCUUCUCCUUCAAGCAUGAGAAAAUUCAGAGAGGAGUCUCCUGAAGAGAGCUUGUUCUACACAGAGUCCCGGUAUAACUGUGUGCAAGUUUCAGAUAAAAGAGAUGCUUUAACGGACUCUGCGCGUGAUUCUGAGAAAACUCCUGAUUUACAUGAUGACACGGAGAAAAAUUCAUUAGCUUUUGAAGAAUUCGGAGCUAAUGGCAACGGACAGUCUGAUUUUGGAGCUGGCAAUAAGGAUACAGUUAGACCCUUGGAGCAAAUACUAGAAGAAGAGCGUUCUGCUUGCCAUGCUUUGUACCUUGAGCUUGAGAAAGAAAGAAAUGCAGCUGCUACAGCUGCAGACGAAGCCAUGGCUAUGAUACUGCGUCUUCAAGCAGAUAAGUCAUCAAUCGAAAUGGAAGCUCGGCAGUACCAGAGAAUGAUAGAGGAAAAAUCUGCUUAUGAUGCUGAGGAAAUGAACAUUCUCAAAGAGAUAUUGUUGAGGAGGGAGAGGGAAAGGCAUUUCUUGGAGAAGGAAGUAGAAUCGUACAGGCAAAUGAUAUUUGCAAAUGAGCGGUUGGAUGAUGAUCUGAAUGAAACAAUAGCUCCUGGGGUAACAAGAACAUCCUCAUUGAUUGCAAGUGAAGAUCCAGAGCUGAUGCUGCAGCACAUUGGUGAGUCUCUUAUCAAGGAAGAGAAACCUGAAGCAAACAAUGAUCCAGGCUUUCAGGUCCGUUUCGUUCCACUUCAGAAUUGUACUGUUGGUUUUGACAGAGAAUUGCAAAUUCCAGAGUGGCUUGAGGAUGACAAGUCUUUGAGAGCAAGCUGUACUAGUGGUGGGCAACCAGGUGUUGACAUAAGUGAUCUGCAUCUGGCUGUUAAUGAGAUAAAUCAAGAAGUUCAGGAAAAGAUAAUGUUAUCCGUAGACAAUAAAUUAUCCGCCCUUCAAGAAGAUUUUCCGAACAAAAGUAAGCAGUUCUCUUCCCAGGGAUUUGGUUUCCGUGUGGAGACCGAUGAGAAGGAAAAUGAGCGCCUAAUUGUCAACUCAAGCCUGUCUAAAUGUUCAGCAUCAGAUAUCAAUGAGACCCUUAGGGGGAGCCACAUGAACAUUCCAUUAGGUGGUGGCUAUAUGGAAACUGAUGGGAGAUAUGCAGAUAUCAAUGAUAAAGUAUCAAAAACAUUGGGAUAUGGCAUGGAGCCCUGUGUCCAUGAUGUCCAUGUAAUCAGCAAUGAACCACCCAGUGGACAUACUAAAGGGGGAGGUGGUAAGGGGGCAAAACUGACUAAAAAUACGUCGUUAAAUAUUCUGACAAGUUCCAAGCAUCUGGUCCUGGACAAUCAGGGUACUGGACUAGACAUGAACAGAAGCAGUUCUGAUGUGUCAAUAGUUAGCUUACAGGGGCAAGCCUUGCCCCCUUAUUUGCGUAGAAAUUCCAUGUCUGCUGUCGAUUAUGAGAGGAUGAAAAUUGACCAUGAAGUUGGGUGGCUUAGGGAGCGGCUUAAGAUUAUACAAGAGGGAAGGGAAAAGCUCACUAUCUCAGCAGGGAACAGAGGAAGGGGAAAGAACGAGUUGCAGCUUUUGGAAAACAUAGUAAGCCAACUGAGAGAGAUCCGAGAAAUGACAGGAUAUGGGAAGGCUGAGCGCCGGGCUUCUCUGCCACCUGCAUCCUCAAAGGUGCGGUACUGAGUUUUAUGUUGACAUGUUAUUUACUGGAAUGGGGGAAACAACCAAAUUGCUAUUUGCUGCAGGCAAGCGCCAAGAAGAGGCGCUGGCGAAGUGUAUCUUUAGGAGUGCACCGAAGCACCUGAUUAAGGGUGUGAACAGUGAAGGCAUCUAUCUAUGCUUGUGCAUACCAGCUUGCUUUUGAAUACGCCCACCAAGCGACUUUCAUCUUAUGAACUUCAAGGGGUGACGGUUUGAUCUUUGAUGAUGCCGAUGGUUUUUUUUUGCCAUGUCGCCAGUGGAUUGUAUACGAUGUCGCCUGGUUUCGGUUAUAUGAUGUAGUCAAGCCCAUGUACAUAUGCCCUUGGUCUUUGUGAUGAGAUGCUUAGAUUGGUUAAUUCGGAAAAAAGAGACUCUUGAUCCUACUUGGGAAAAUUGUCCAAAAAGUGCUAAAGCUAUUACACGGUGGCCAAUUUAGUCCUAAACCUUU
This is an RNA transcript of Rhodamnia argentea, 3003 nucleotides long. RefSeq lists it as uncharacterized. The transcript has 4 exons. The record is from RefSeq and is a predicted model, not a curated record. Lineage: Eukaryota; Viridiplantae; Streptophyta; Magnoliopsida; Myrtales; Myrtaceae.